GCCCCUGUCGUCUAGUGGAUAGGAUAGGAGCUUGCGGAGCUUCUGACUGGGGUUCAAAUAUGCUUCGAGUCUCACCAGAAACAGAACAAGACGCGGAGCGUUGACUCUCCCCGCGGGGGCA
Molecule: transfer RNA, 121 nt
Filed under: Candidatus Woesearchaeota archaeon
Lineage: Archaea; Nanobdellati; Candidatus Woesearchaeota
Description: tRNA-Arg
Source: RNAcentral